AGGCGAAUAGCUUAGUGGUAAAGCGCCUGGUUGAAACCCAGGAGUCGCAGGUUCAAUUCCCGCUUCGCCUA
Molecule: transfer RNA, 71 nt
Filed under: Patescibacteria group bacterium
Lineage: Bacteria
Description: tRNA-Phe
Rfam family: tRNA
About the family: Transfer RNA (tRNA) molecules are approximately 80 nucleotides in length. Their secondary structure includes four short double-helical elements and three loops (D, anti-codon, and T loops).
Source: RNAcentral